UACGAAUGGGGCAAGCGUUGUUCGGAAUCACUGGGCGUAAAGCGCACGCAGGCGGAUUUAUAAGUCAGGGGUGAAAUCCCGGGGCUCAACCUCGGAACUGCCUUUGAUACUGCAAGUCUGGAGUCCGGAAGAGGUGAGUGGAAUUCCUAGUGUAGAGGUGAAAUUCGUAGAUAUUAGGAAGAACACCAGUGGCGAAGGCGGCUCACUGGUCCGGUACUGACGCUGAGGUGCGAAAGCGUGGGGAGCAAACAGG
RNAcentral lists this ribosomal RNA (253 nucleotides) under uncultured bacterium. RNAcentral describes it as "partial 16S ribosomal RNA". It matches the Rfam family "Bacterial small subunit ribosomal RNA", at positions 524 to 776 of the family's 1533-position model. The record is from RNAcentral.